Molecule: ribosomal RNA, 484 nt
Filed under: uncultured bacterium
Lineage: Bacteria
Description: partial 16S ribosomal RNA
Rfam family: Bacterial small subunit ribosomal RNA
Source: RNAcentral
AUUGAACGCUGGCGGCAGGCCUAACACAUGCAAGUCGAGCGGAUGAAGGGAGCUUGCUCCUGGAUUCAGCGGCGGACGGGUGAGUAAUGCCUAGGAAUCUGCCUGGUAGUGGGGGAUAACGUCCGGAAACGGGCGCUAAUACCGCAUACGUCCUGCGGGAGAAAGUGGGGGAUCUUCGGACCUCACGCUAUCAGAUGAGCCUAGGUCGGAUUAGCUAGUUGGUGGGGUAAAGGCCUACCAAGGCGACGAUCCGUAACUGGUCUGAGAGGAUGAUCAGUCACACUGUAACUGAGACACAGUCCAGACUCCUACGGGAGGCAGCAGUGGGGAAUAUUGGGCGAUGGGCGAGAGCCUGAUCCAGCCAAGCCGCGUGUGUGAAGAAGGUCUUCUGAUUGUAAAGCACUUUAAGCUGGGAGGAAGGACAGUAAGUUAAUACCUUGCUGUUUUGACGUUACCAACAGAAUAAGCACCGGCUAACUUCGUG